UGGGUUUCGAGGAGUUUAAAAGCCUUCGGAUUUUCUAGGAUUGGGCUCUUUUGGUGUACUUUCUCGUACGGUUAGUCAACAUCGGUUUUGAAUGUCAUAAAAUGACCGGAGGAAUGUGGCUUCGAUCUCGUAUCGAAGUGUUAUAACCUUUGGUAGAUGUGAUGUUCGAGACCGAGGAUUGCAACGGAUACCCUUCUGGGCUAUUCGUCUGAUCUCUGAUACGUUGCCUUGAUGUCGAAAGCGUGCUUAUGAUGUUAGGGUAUUACGGUCAAAAGGUUAGAACGGAUUAAA
RNAcentral lists this ribosomal RNA (291 nucleotides) under uncultured Funneliformis. RNAcentral describes it as "partial 28S ribosomal RNA". The record is from RNAcentral. Lineage: Eukaryota; Fungi; Glomeromycota; Glomeromycetes; Glomerales; Glomeraceae.